UAGUAACCCACGCUAUCGUAUCCCCGCUCAAGCAGAUAAUACCCCAAAUCAUGCGAAAGUAAUGAAGUGUGCUUCACUACUAACUCCCGAUGUUACGUUGUCGGCCGCCAACGUAACCCUCGGCGAAGUUAGAAGCUAUACACUUCGAUUUAACUCCACUUUCUAGAGUUAUCAAAGAUACCCAAUCAAGAUACUUUCGCUUACAAGUCAAAUAGACCUCGUCUCUCACGAGCCUAUUUCCUAUAGUCCAACCGGCCUAAGGUUUGCUAGGUCCACUAAGACUCAACCCUAGGCUCUGAUACCAAACUAAUCUGUCACGUCCCGGGCCUAGCGGAAGCCCGCCCGGCGCGUGCCCAGACCCGCCAUAUGUCUAAAACAUAUAAGGCGUCUAAAACAAAACGAUAAAUAAAGCAGUAGAACAAAGGAAUCUAAUGAUAUCAGAGUAAAGUAAAUAACUAAGUUCUACACAGAGAGGUAAGUAUAAAACUGAAAUCCACUAAUAUAGCCAUAAAGUAGUACAAAGGAAAUCCCAAAUACAAAAACUAAACAUAAAGAGUAUCUAGGUGGUCUCUCUAUACAUGAUACUCAAAAUCUCUCUCUCUCUAAUACAAUAAAAGAAAGAGUAAACCAUCUAAGCUCAAAAGUAGCUCCCCGC
RNAcentral lists this long non-coding RNA (655 nucleotides) under Ananas comosus (pineapple). Its description in RNAcentral is "long non-coding RNA (ACOM_LNC036368)". Lineage: Eukaryota; Viridiplantae; Streptophyta; Magnoliopsida; Poales; Bromeliaceae. The record is from RNAcentral.